UACGUAGGUGGCAAGCGUUGUCCGGAAUUAUUGGGCGUAAAGAGCUCGUAGGCGGUUUGUCGCGUCUGCUGUGAAAACUCGGGGCUUAACUCCGGGCCUGCAGUGGGUACGGGUAGACUAGAGUGCGGUAGGGGAGACUGGAAUUCCUGGUGUAGCGGUGAAAUGCGCAGAUAUCAGGAGGAACACCGGUGGCGAAGGCGGGUCUCUGGGCCGUAACUGACGCUGAGGAGCGAAAGCGUGGGGAGCGAACAGG
Molecule: ribosomal RNA, 253 nt
Filed under: uncultured bacterium
Lineage: Bacteria
Description: partial 16S ribosomal RNA
Rfam family: Bacterial small subunit ribosomal RNA
Source: RNAcentral